RNAcentral lists this signal recognition particle RNA (224 nucleotides) under Mogibacterium sp. RNAcentral's name for it is "signal recognition particle sRNA large type". It matches the Rfam family "Bacterial large signal recognition particle RNA". Rfam says of the family: The signal recognition particle (SRP) is a universally conserved ribonucleoprotein involved in the co-translational targeting of proteins to membranes. Archaeal SRP consists of a 7S RNA and homologues of the eukaryotic SRP19 and SRP54 proteins. The record is from RNAcentral. Lineage: Bacteria; Bacillati; Bacillota; Clostridia; Peptostreptococcales; Anaerovoracaceae.
UUUGACAGGCGGAGCGGGCUGUGCCCGCUUCCGCUGCGUAUAAUUAAAUAAAAGAGACGAAACGUCUUUAGAUAACCUGCGGUUUCAAGGGGUCCUGCGCAAUGGACGCCCGUGAACCUUGUCAGGACCGAGAGGGAGCAGCAAUAAGCGGUUCCGCCCGUGUGCCGCAGAUCCACCUCUUGAUGGACUGCAGGUUAUCUAAAGGCGUUUUUUAUUUUUUUGAA